RNAcentral lists this ribosomal RNA (253 nucleotides) under uncultured bacterium. Its description in RNAcentral is "partial 16S ribosomal RNA". It matches the Rfam family "Bacterial small subunit ribosomal RNA", at positions 524 to 776 of the family's 1533-position model. The record is from RNAcentral.
UACGUAGGGGGCAAGCGUUGUUCGGAUUCACUGGGCGUAAAGGGUGCGUAGGCGGCUUAGCAAGUCGGAUGUGAAAUCCCUCGGCUCAACCAAGGAAGUGCAUCCGAAACUGCUGAGCUUGAGUACGAAAGAGGAUCGCGGAAUUCCCGGUGUAGAGGUGAAAUUCGUAGAUAUCGGGAGGAACACCAGUGGCGAAGGCGGCGAUCUGGGUCGAUACUGACGCUGAGGUGCGAAAGCGUGGGGAGCAAACAGG